Molecule: long non-coding RNA, 841 nt
Organism: Lagopus leucura (white-tailed ptarmigan)
Lineage: Eukaryota; Metazoa; Chordata; Aves; Galliformes; Phasianidae
Exons: 6
Source: RefSeq, a predicted model, not a curated record
AGUUUGUGAGCGAAAUUCCUGCACAAUAUGAUGUUUCUUUUUAGCUUAGAUUGUAACUCUAAGAUUAUUUUCACAAAAUUUUUAGUUUAGGGUAGAACAGGGCAGUGAGAGAUGUGCAUGGAGUGGCAGUUUAUCUUUUGUGUCACGGUUUCAGUUACUGGUUGCUGUGAGAACAGUUAGACUCAUUACAAUCCAAUUUUCUUAAAGCUUCAAAAGUUCCGGGAGUCUAACGCCGAAGCUGGAAUUUUCCUACAGUGAAAGAAAUGACCCUUCACCCCUCCAGUUUGAAAUCACAAGGGAGGUGAAGGGAUACACCACACCAGAGGCUGACGGUCAAAUGGAAGAACAGCAAUCACCAGAGCCAGUUGUCUCUACCGGAGAGCAUCAGUCAGGAAGGAGUUGACAACUGAGCUGCCCUGGGGAAGGAAGCUUCUCAGAAAUAAUUUCAUCAGGGGAGAAUAAUUUCAGUAAACCUCGUAUUCAAAGUUGCUGAAGAUUUUGCUUUGCUUCAUGAGAACAUCAUACGGCAUGUGCAGGACAACCAGAGGAUCAGGCCCAGCCAGCAUGGAUUCAUGAAAAAGAGGUGAUCUUUUGUACAGAAGAAUAGAAACCACCCAAGUUCGACUCCUGGACUGCCUUGCAGAGGGAUCCUUUUCUCUCUGCUGAGAGACCUGAUUUUGACACCGAAGUUGGAAUAUGCCAGGACAAACAUCUCAAUAAACAGACACUUACAAUUUUCUGUUUGAAAGAACCUCCACUUUUCUGCCACCAAACUGUCAUGGAGCUCAUUACCUCCGAUGAGGUGAGCAAUGGUGUGGAAUAAACGGACCUCCUGUGAGUG